Molecule: microRNA precursor, 121 nt
Filed under: Notamacropus eugenii (tammar wallaby)
Lineage: Eukaryota; Metazoa; Chordata; Mammalia; Diprotodontia; Macropodidae
Description: miRNA (ENSMEUG00000017089.1)
Source: RNAcentral
GUGUAUGUGUAUUUAUAUGUAUAUAUAUGUGUGUGUAUGUAUAUAUGUGUGUAUAUAUAUAUAUAUAUAUAUAUAUGCAUAUAUAUACACACACACAUAUAUAUAUAUAUAUAUAUAUACA